CCUACGGGAGGCAGCAGUGGGGAAUUUUCCGCAAUGGGCGAAAGCCUGACGGAGCAACGCCGCGUGAGGGAUGAAGGCCUCUGGGCUGUAAACCUCUUUUAUCAAGGAAGAAGAUCUGACGGUACUUGAUGAAUAAGCCACGGCUAAUUCCGUGCCAGCAGCCGCGGUAAUACGGGAGUGGCAAGCGUUAUCCGGAAUUAUUGGGCGUAAAGCGUCCGCAGGCGGCCCUUCAAGUCUGCUGUUAAAAAGUGGAGCUUAACUCCAUCAUGGCAGUGGAAACUGUUGGGCUUGAGUGUGGUAGGGGCAGAGGGAAUUC
This 316-nucleotide ribosomal RNA is filed under the name uncultured bacterium. RNAcentral's name for it is "bacterial SSU rRNA". It matches the Rfam family "Bacterial small subunit ribosomal RNA", at positions 338 to 669 of the family's 1533-position model. The record is from RNAcentral.